CCUACGGGCGGCAGCAGUGGGGAAUAUUGCACAAUGGGCGCAAGCCUGAUGCAGACAUGCCGCGUGUGUGAAGAAGGCCUUCGGGUUGUAAAGCACUUUCAGCGGGGAGGAAGGCGUUAAGGUUAAUAACCUUGUCGAUUGACGUUACCCGCAGAAGAAGCACCGGCUAACUCCGUGCCAGCAGCCGCGGUAAUACGGAGGGUGCAAGCGUUAAUCGGAAUUACUGGGCGUAAAGCGCACGCAGGCGGUCUGUCAAGUCGGAUGCGAAAUCCCCGGGCUCAACCUGGGAACUGCAUUCGAAACUGGCAGGCUAGAGUCUUGUAGAGGGGGGUAGAAUUCCAGGUGUAGCGGUGAAAUGCGUAGAGAUCUGGAGGAAUACCGGUGGCGAAGGCGGCCCCCUGGACAAAGACUGACGCUCAGGUGCGAAAGCGUGGGGAGCAAACAGGAUUAGAUACCCGAGUAGUC
RNAcentral lists this ribosomal RNA (465 nucleotides) under uncultured Klebsiella sp. RNAcentral describes it as "bacterial SSU rRNA". It matches the Rfam family "Bacterial small subunit ribosomal RNA", at positions 338 to 795 of the family's 1533-position model. Lineage: Bacteria; Pseudomonadati; Pseudomonadota; Gammaproteobacteria; Enterobacterales; Enterobacteriaceae. The record is from RNAcentral.